This 253-nucleotide ribosomal RNA is filed under the name uncultured bacterium. RNAcentral's name for it is "partial 16S ribosomal RNA". It matches the Rfam family "Bacterial small subunit ribosomal RNA", at positions 524 to 776 of the family's 1533-position model. The record is from RNAcentral.
UACAGGGGGGGCAAGCGUUGUUCGGAAUUACUGGGCGUAAAGGGCCAGUAGGCGGCCAACUAAGUCCGACGUGAAAUCCCCAGGCUUAACCUGGGAACUGCAUCCGAUACUGGAUGGCUUGAAUUCGGGAGAGGGAUGCAGAAUUCCAGGUGUAGCGGUGAAAUGCGUAGAUAUCUGGAGGAAUACCGGUGGCGAAGGCGGCAUCCUGGACCGACAUUGACGCUGAGGAGCGAAAGCCAGGGGAGCAAACGGG